This 332-nucleotide unclassified non-coding RNA is filed under the name soil metagenome. RNAcentral describes it as "partial contains 5.8S ribosomal RNA, internal transcribed spacer 2, and large subunit ribosomal RNA". The stretch from base 1 to 120 matches the Rfam family "5.8S ribosomal RNA", at positions 35 to 154 of the family's 154-position model. The record is from RNAcentral.
GAUGAAGAACGUAGCGAAUUGCGAUAUGUAAUGUGAAUUGCAGAAUUCAGUGAAUCAUCGAAUCUUUGAACGCACAUUGCGCCCUUUGGUAUUCCUUAGGGCAUGCCUGUUCGAGCGUCAUUUAAACCUUCAAGCUAAGCUUGGUGUUGGGUGACUGUCCGCUUCACGGCGGACUCGCCUCAAAAUUAUUGGCGGCCGGUACAUUGGCUUCGAGCGCAGCAGAAACGCGAACUCGGGCCCGUCGUAUUGGCUCCCAGAAGCUAUCUUCACAAUUUUGACCUCGGAUCAGGUAGGGAUACCCGCUGAACUUAAGCAUAUCAAUAAGCGGAGGA